Molecule: long non-coding RNA, 1261 nt
Organism: Labeo rohita (rohu)
Lineage: Eukaryota; Metazoa; Chordata; Actinopteri; Cypriniformes; Cyprinidae
Exons: 5
Source: RefSeq, a predicted model, not a curated record
UGAAUGCUGCCUUUAGUGUACCAAGCAGACGUUAGCUGCGACGUACACUGAAACAAAACAAGAAAACAGGAAGUUUUCCAUCAGUCAAGUUUUCUCUGUGCUCAGGACAGAACACAAAACGCCUGUCGAAAAAUGUAUCCAGUUUUAACCGGUUUGGCACAGACUACCCAAGAUUGGGUUACGCUGACCUGGCGCUGGGCGUAAAUCUGGGAUACACACAUCUGUGCUUCUCUCAGGGACUGAGGCUUGUAAAUCGGAUUUCCACUGUGUGACAUGUGACAUUGAUCUGUGCUCAGAGCUGGGUUUAUUUCGGUACCGCUGUAAACAUCUAGUGAUGUUGACAUUAAUGUGCCUCUCCCAGUUGAUAAAACAGAGGAGCCACCAGCUUUGGGACUCUCAGAGCAUUUAUUCAUCAAAUGGCCAGAGGAGAGCAGGGCUUACCACUCAAAGAGAGAGCAGAGACUCUGAAUGCUGCCGGGACUUCUGGGACAACGGAGAAGCCACAGUUAGAAAGACCUCUCAUAAAAUCUUGUUCCAGACCCAGCGUUCACCAGCGUGAAUUUCUGUGCUUGCUCAGGCCGGCUGAGUGAAAACAAAGAGAACCUUUUUCUCAAUACUUUUGUCUUGUUUUCCAAAAAAUCUCCACUUCAGCAGCACUUCCAGACACAAAACUGCGGAAAACUCUGGGAAAUUGUUAACUUCAAUAUGUCAAAAUUAACACAGAUUUUGUCCAGUGCUCAGAUUUCUGUGCUAGACAUUUAUGCAAACUAGUGCAUAUUUAAUUAGACAAUGCCUCAUUUGUAUAUUUAAAUGUAACAUUUCAGAAAACGUGGUACAAAACAGUUGUCUUAAUGUACUGUAAUUAAUCAACUGGGGAUAUCUAUUAGUUAACAUUUUGUCAUGCCUUAAGAAACAUUUUUUUCCCUAUCCCAAUAGCAAAUUGUUUUUCAUUUUUAAAGGGAUCCCCGGGUAUUAAGACUUGUGUGGCUUAAUAUAACAUAAAUUAUGUUUUUUACUAAAAUAUGUAGUAGGAAACCCAUGAAAGGGCUAUGGGGGAUGCUUUUAUUUCGAUGAUGUAAAAUGGUUGCAUUCAGUGAGCUACUUGCGCUACCUGUUGCUAUUUUUUUACUGCAACACAACUCAAAAUACACAACUCGGAAAAUGAAAUACUGAUACAAUGCCAUAUUGUGCAGCUUUUGCUUGUAAUUUUCAGUCGAAGGGCAACAAGAGAAGCAAUGUAAUUGUUUACUGCUUUCCUAGA